AGACACUCCUGUGUUUCACCCAGCCCUCCAGGGACUGUAUUCCAGAGUCUGAAUAAACAGGAACAUGCUAAGACAUUGGAUCUGUUACUCUGUACUACCUGCAAGUCCAUAUACUACUGCAUUUGUCAGCCUUGGCAUUUCAGACAAAGAGGAGAGAAUGGAUUCAACACAGACAAAUAAACCUGCUGCUGGAUGGGAAAAGACAGACAUUAUAAUGGAUGGAAUACAACUUAAGCAUUUUCCAAUUCUUUUAACUUGCUACCUUGUGGCAACGUACAUUGUUCAGGCCAUAGAUUAUGUCUCCCUUACAAAUGAGACCAUGCAAACAAACACACAGAGUAGGUUGGAAAAACAAUGUCUCCUGAAGCUGUUAUAGCAUCCAGUAUUUCAGAUAAAGUCCAUCAAACCACAACGCAGGGUGCAACUAUCAGCCACAAUACAAGGCUCAGAAUGGAUAGCGGCAGUAACUCUCCUUUAAUAACCACAUCAUAUGUGGCACAUGUUGCAUCAAACACCAUUCACCAUCCAAGCUCAAACACUAACAAGUCUUCAGAUAUCACAAGAUUCAAAUCUGUUGCGACUCUACCACGUAAUUUUUUAUCAUCUACUAGAACUAUAAAUCAAACAACAUCAGAAAUGCUGGAAGCAGCUGAUCAGCUUUUCACAACCAUACCAACAAUCACCCGUGAAGCUCUAACUCCAAAUUGUACAACCCAGGCUCCAGCAGGAGAAGCUCAUCUAUGGACUUCCAAGACCAUUCUGGCUAUUAGUUUCAACAGCCUCACCUUUACUCUUCUAGUGAUUAUUAUAUACAUUCAUAACAAGUACGGGAAAAGAAUUGCCCAGUAUUCACAUCAUCAACUGAAUGAGAACUCUCCUGAAACAGAUGAUUUAUAUAAUACACCAGAUGACACACUGGUGAUAUCAGGAGGACUAUAA
Struthio camelus australis is the source of this 939-nucleotide long non-coding RNA. Lineage: Eukaryota; Metazoa; Chordata; Aves; Struthioniformes; Struthionidae. The record is from Ensembl.